Molecule: ribosomal RNA, 273 nt
Filed under: uncultured bacterium
Lineage: Bacteria
Description: partial 16S ribosomal RNA
Rfam family: Bacterial small subunit ribosomal RNA
Source: RNAcentral
UACGUAGGGUGCGAGCGUUAAUCGGAAUUACUGGGCGUAAAGCGUGCGCAGGCGGUUUUGUAAGACAGAUGUGAAAUCCCCGGGCUUAACCUGGGAACUGCGUUUGUGACUGCAAGGCUAGAGUACGGCAGAGGGGGGUGGAAUUCCACGUGUAGCAGUGAAAUGCGUAGAUAUGUGGAGGAACACCGAUGGCGAAGGCAGCCCCCUGGGCCUGUACUGACGCUCAUGCACGAAAGCGUGGGGAGCAAACAGGAUUAGAUACCCCCGUAGUCC